RNAcentral lists this long non-coding RNA (439 nucleotides) under Solanum tuberosum (potato). RNAcentral describes it as "long non-coding RNA (STUB_LNC009218)". Lineage: Eukaryota; Viridiplantae; Streptophyta; Magnoliopsida; Solanales; Solanaceae. The record is from RNAcentral.
UAUAAUACAUGCACACUACAUUUUUAAUAUAUUGCAAACAUCACUCAUGUUCUUAGUGAUACAAACCAAAAUAAUUUAUAACACAUAUAAUACAUGUUUUAUUCAUGAAUAAUACAAGUUUAAUUCAGUCUAUAGAUUAUUGUCUUGUCUUUCGUUAGUUACGUUUUUCAUUUAUUCUUAAUUUUCUCUUCUAAUUCAACUUUAAUAUUGUGUAUACACUUUUAAUGCAAAUUUAAUUCAUUUUGUAGUUUAUUAUUUGUUACUAUUAGAUUACUUGUUUAAUUCAUUUUUUAUAUAAGUUUAAUUCACUUUGUAGAUCAUUGGCUGCUCUUUCAUUAGUUACAUUUUUUAUUCGUGCUUAAUUCUCUCUUCUAAUUCAAUUUUAAUAUUUGUGUAAUACACUUUUAAUACAAGUUAAUUCAUUUUGCAGUUUAUUGGU